This 394-nucleotide unclassified non-coding RNA is filed under the name Hevea brasiliensis (rubber tree). Lineage: Eukaryota; Viridiplantae; Streptophyta; Magnoliopsida; Malpighiales; Euphorbiaceae. The record is from RNAcentral.
GGAAGUGCUCUAGCUGUGUACUGGAGGAAUCAACCAAUUCCUGUUGAUGACAAGGAUGAUUUUAAGGAGUAACCUCUGCUGCUGCUUCUUUACAUGUCGUUAGUUUGUGAGAUGAAGUUGAAAGAUCCACAGUCAUGCAAAUGCAUGGUUGGUAGUUGUUUGCAUUUCUUGGCUGCCUCUGUAAUGAAACCUAAAUUUUGGACCUUAGAUUCAAUUUUAUGUGUUAGAAACAUUAGCACAGUGCCUUCCAAAAUGUUUUAGAUGAAUUGUUAUUGAGCGAACUGCCCAUGGCAUUGUAAGCCAGUUUAGUGCUGGUAAGAUUUACUCCAAGGUUGAUAAAAUGGGUGUAAUUUAUGGCUAUUCGCCCAAUUACCUCAUUACAAUUGGGUUGGCU